UCGAGCGGUAACAGGACUAGCUUGCUAGUUGCUGACGAGCGGCGGACGGGUGCGUAACACGUAGGGAUCUACCCAGUAGCGGGGGAUAGCCCGGAGAAAUCCGGAUUAAUACCGCAUACGCCCUACGGGGGAAAGCAGGGGAUCUUCGGACCUUGCACUAUUGGAUGAGCCUGCGUCGGAUUAGCUAGUUGGUGGGGUAAAGGCCUACCAAGGCAACGAUCCGUAGCUGGUCUGAGAGGAUGAUCAGCCACACUGGGACUGAGACACGGCCCAGACUCCUACGGGAGGCAGCAGUGGGGAAUAUUGCACAAUGGGCGAAAGCCUGAUGCAGCCAUGCCGCGUGUGUGAAGAAGGCUCUAGGGUUGUAAAGCACUUUCAGCGAGGAGGAAAGGUUGGUAAUUAAUACUUGCCAGCUGUGACGUUACUCGCAGAAGAAGCACCGGCUAACUCCGUGCCAGCAGCCGCGGUAAUACGGAGGGUGCAAGCGUUAAUCGGAAUUACUGGGCGUAAAGCGUGCGUAGGCGGCUGCCUAAGUUGGAUGUGAAAGCCCCGGGCUCAACCUGGGAACUGCAUCCAAAACUGGGCAGCUAGAGUGCGGAAGGGGAGUGUGGAAUUUCCUGUGUAGCGGUGAAAUGCGUAGAUAUAGGAAGGAACACCAGUGGCGAAGGCGACACUCUGGUCUGACACUGACGCUGAGGUACGAAAGCGU
This 709-nucleotide ribosomal RNA is filed under the name uncultured Gammaproteobacteria bacterium. RNAcentral describes it as "bacterial SSU rRNA". It matches the Rfam family "Bacterial small subunit ribosomal RNA", at positions 62 to 762 of the family's 1533-position model. Lineage: Bacteria; Pseudomonadati; Pseudomonadota; Gammaproteobacteria. The record is from RNAcentral.